GAUGAACGCUAGCUACAGGCUUAACACAUGCAAGUCGAGGGGCAGCAUGAUUGAAGCUUGCUUCAAUCGAUGGCGACCGGCGCACGGGUGAGUAACACGUAUCCAACCUGCCGAUAACUCGGGGAUAGCCUUUCGAAAGAAAGAUUAAUACCCGAUAGUAUAGUAUUUCCGCAUGGUUUCACUAUUAAAGAACUUCGGUUAUCGAUGGGGAUGCGUUCCAUUAGAUAGUUGGCGGGGUAACGGCCCACCAAGUCAACGAUGGAUAGGGGUUCUGAGAGGAAGGUCCCCCACAUUGGAACUAGGACACGGUCCAAACUCGUACGGGAGGCAGCAGUGAGGAAUAUUGGUCAAUGGACGAGAGUCUGAACCAGCCAAGUAGCGUGAAGGAGGACUGCCCUAUGGGUUGUAAACUUCUUUUAUACGGGAAUAAAGUGGAGUAUGCAUACUCCUUUGUAUGUACCGUAUGAAUAAGGAUCGGCUAACUCCGUG
Molecule: ribosomal RNA, 489 nt
Filed under: uncultured bacterium
Lineage: Bacteria
Description: partial 16S ribosomal RNA
Rfam family: Bacterial small subunit ribosomal RNA
Source: RNAcentral